This is a non-coding RNA of Hymenopellis radicata, 92 nucleotides long. NCBI's taxonomy places the organism in Eukaryota, Fungi, Basidiomycota, Agaricomycetes, Agaricales, Physalacriaceae. The record is from the annotation of a GenBank genome assembly.
GGCUCUCUGGUGUAGUGGGCAUAUCCCAAACCUCGACUCUAUAUUUAAUAUCGAUGUGAGGGAGGUCAUAGGUUCGAAUCCUAUGAGAGCUA